Molecule: ribosomal RNA, 1249 nt
Filed under: uncultured Gammaproteobacteria bacterium
Lineage: Bacteria; Pseudomonadati; Pseudomonadota; Gammaproteobacteria
Description: bacterial SSU rRNA
Rfam family: Bacterial small subunit ribosomal RNA
Source: RNAcentral
GAGUUUGAUCCUGGCUCAGAUUGAACGCUGGCGGCAGGCUUAACACAUGCAAGUCGAACGGUAACAUGAGUGCUUGCACUUGAUGACGAGUGGCGGACGGGUGAGUAAUGUAUGGGGAUCUGCCGAAUGGAGGGGGACAACAGUUGGAAACGACUGCUAAUACCGCAUAAAGUUGAGAGACCAAAGCAUGGGACCUUCGGGCCAUGCGCCAUUUGAUGAACCCAUAUGGGAUUAGCUAGUUGGUAGGGUAAUGGCUUACCUAGGCGACGAUCUCUAGCUGGUCUGAGAGGAUGACCAGCCACACUGGAACUGAGACACGGUCCAGACUCCUACGGGAGGCAGCAGUGGGGAAUAUUGCACAAUGGGGGGAACCCUGAUGCAGCCAUGCCGCGUGUAUGAAGAAGGCCUUCGGGUUGUAAAGUACUUUCGGUGAUGAGGAAGGUGACGUAUCUAAUAGGUAUGUUAAUUGACGUUAAUUACAGAAGAAGCACCGGCUAACUCCGUGCCAGCAGCCGCGGUAAUACGGAGGGUGCGAGCGUUAAUCGGAAUGACUGGGCGUAAAGGGCAUGUAGGCGGAUAAUUAAGUUAGGUGUGAAAGCCCUGGGCUCAACCUAGGAAUUGCACUUAAAACUGGUUAACUAGAGUAUUGUAGAGGAAGGUAGAAUUCCACGUGUAGCGGUGAAAUGCGUAGAGAUGUGGAGGAAUACCGGUGGCGAAGGCGGCCUUCUGGACAGAUACUGACGCUGAGAUGCGAAAGCGUGGGGAGCAAACAGGAUUAGAUACCCUGGUAGUCCACGCUGUAAACGAUGUCGAUUUGGAGUUUGUUGCCUAGAGUGAUGGGCUCCGAAGCUAACGCGAUAAAUCGACCGCCUGGGGAGUACGGCCGCAAGGUUAAAACUCAAAUGAAUUGACGGGGGCCCGCACAAGCGGUGGAGCAUGUGGUUUAAUUCGAUGCAACGCGAAGAACCUUACCUGGUCUUGACAUCCACAGAAUCUUGCAGAGAUGCGGGAGUGCCUUCGGGAACUGUGAGACAGGUGCUGCAUGGCUGUCGUCAGCUCGUGUUGUGAAAUGUUGGGUUAAGUCCCGCAACGAGCGCAACCCUUAUCCUUUGUUGCCAUCGGUUAGGCCGGGAACUCAAAGGAGACUGCCGUUGAUAAAGCGGAGGAAGGUGGGGACGACGUCAAGUCAUCAUGGCCCUUACGACCAGGGCUACACACGUGCUACAAUGGCGUAUACAAAGGGAGGCGA